This 491-nucleotide ribosomal RNA is filed under the name uncultured bacterium. RNAcentral's name for it is "partial 16S ribosomal RNA". It matches the Rfam family "Bacterial small subunit ribosomal RNA", at positions 29 to 506 of the family's 1533-position model. The record is from RNAcentral.
AGUGAACGCUGGCGGUAGGCCUAACACAUGCAAGUCGAACGGCAGCACAGUAAGAGCUUGCUCUUACGGGUGGCGAGUGGCGGACGGGUGAGGAAUACAUCGGAAUCUACUUUUUCGUGGGGGAUAACGUAGGGAAACUUACGCUAAUACCGCAUACGACCUACGGGUGAAAGCAGGGGAUCUUCGGACCUUGCGCGAUUGAAUGAGCCGAUGUCGGAUUAGCUAGUAGGCGGGGUAAAGGCCCACCAAGGCGACGAUCCGUAGCUGGUCUGAGAGGAUGAUCAGCCACACUGGAACUGAGACACGGUCCAGACUCCUACGGGAGGCAGCAGUGGGGAAUAUUGGACAAUGGGCGCAAGCCUGAUCCAGCCAUACCGCGUGGGUGAAGAAGGCCUUCGGGUUGUAAAGCCCUUUUGUUGGGAAAGAAAAGCAGCAGGUUAAUACCCCGCUGUUCUGACGGUACCCAAAGAAUAAGCACCGGCUAACUUCGU